AGAGUUUGAUCCUGGCUCAGAGUGAACGCUGGCGGCGUGCCUAAUACAUGCAAGUCGAACGAUGAAGCUUCUAGCUUGCUAGAAUGCUGAUUAGUGGCGCACGGGUGAGUAACGCAUAGGUUAUGUGCCUCUUAGUUUGGGAUAGCCAUUGGAAACGAUGAUUAAUACCAGAUACUCCCUACGGGGGAAAGAUUUAUCGCUAAGAGAUCAGCCUAUGUCCUAUCAGCUUGUUGGUAAGGUAAUGGCUUACCAAGGCUAUGACGGGUAUCCGGCCUGAGAGGGUGAACGGACACACUGGAACUGAGACACGGUCCAGACUCCUACGGGAGGCAGCAGUAGGGAAUAUUGCUCAAUGGGGGAAACCCUGAAGCAGCAACGCCGCGUGGAGGAUGAAGGUUUUAGGAUUGUAAACUCCUUUUGUUAGAGAAGAUAAUGACGGUAUCUAACGAAUAAGCACCGGCUAACUCCGUGCCAGCAGCCGCGGUAAUACGGAGGGUGCAAGCGUUACUCGGAAUCACUGGGCGUAAAGAGCGCGUAGGCGGGAUAGUCAGUCAGGUGUGAAAUCCUAUGGCUUAACCAUAGAACUGCAUUUGAAACUACUAUUCUAGAGUGUGGGAGAGGUAGGUGGAAUUCUUGGUGUAGGGGUAAAAUCCGUAGAGAUCAAGAGGAAUACUCAUUGCGAAGGCGACCUGCUGGAACAUUACUGACGCUGAUUGCGCGAAAGCGUGGGGAGCAAACAGGAUUAGAUACCCUGGUAGUCCACGCCCUAAACGAUGGAUGCUAGUUGUUGGAGGGCUUAGUCUCUCCAGUAAUGCAGCUAACGCAUUAAGCAUCCCGCCUGGGGAGUACGGUCGCAAGAUUAAAACUCAAAGGAAUAGACGGGGACCCGCACAAGCGGUGGAGCAUGUGGUUUAAUUCGAAGAUACACGAAGAACCUUACCUAGGCUUGACAUUGAGAGAAUCCGCUAGAAAUAGUGGAGUGUCUGGCUUGCCAGACCUUGAAAACAGGUGCUGCACGGCUGUCGUCAGCUCGUGUCGUGAGAUGUUGGGUUAAGUCCCGCAACGAGCGCAACCCCCUUUCUUAGUUGCUAACAGGUCAUGCUGAGAACUCUAAGGAUACUGCCUCCGUAAGGAGGAGGAAGGUGGGGACGACGUCAAGUCAUCAUGGCCCUUACGCCUAGGGCUACACACGUGCUACAAUGGGGUGCACAAAGAGAAGCAAUACUGCGAAGUGGAGCCAAUCUUCAAAACAUCUCUCAGUUCGGAUUGUAGGCUGCAACUCGCCUGCAUGAAGCUGGAAUCGCUAGUAAUCGCAAAUCAGCCAUGUUGCGGUGAAUACGUUCCCGGGUCUUGUACUCACCGCCCGUCACACCAUGGGAGUUGUGUUUGCCUUAAGUCAGGAUGCUAAAUUGGCUACUGCCCACGGCACACACAGCGACUGGGGUGAAGUCGUAACAAGGUAACCGUAGGUGAACCUGCGGUUG
This 1484-nucleotide ribosomal RNA is filed under the name Helicobacter pylori. Its description in RNAcentral is "bacterial SSU rRNA". It matches the Rfam family "Bacterial small subunit ribosomal RNA". The record is from RNAcentral. Lineage: Bacteria; Pseudomonadati; Campylobacterota; Epsilonproteobacteria; Campylobacterales; Helicobacteraceae.